This 467-nucleotide ribosomal RNA is filed under the name uncultured bacterium. Its description in RNAcentral is "partial 16S ribosomal RNA". It matches the Rfam family "Bacterial small subunit ribosomal RNA", at positions 28 to 507 of the family's 1533-position model. The record is from RNAcentral.
GACGAACGCUGGCGGCGUGCUUAACACAUGCAAGUCGAACGGAAAGGCCCUGCUUUUGUGGGGUGCUCGAGUGGCGAACGGGUGAGUAACACGUGAGUAACCUGCCCUUGACUUUGGGAUAACUUCAGGAAACUGGGGCUAAUACCGGAUAGGAGCUCCUGCUGCAUGGUGGGGGUUGGAAAGUUUCGGCGGUUGGGGAUGGACUCGCGGCUUAUCAGCUUGUUGGUGGGGUAGUGGCUUACCAAGGCUUUGACGGGUAGCCGGCCUGAGAGGGUGACCGGCCACAUUGGGACUGGGAUACGGCCCGGACUCCAACGGGAGGAAGCGGUGGGGAAUAUUGCACAAUGGCGGAAGCCUGAUGCAGCAACGCCGCGUGCGGGAUGACGGCCUUCGGGUUGUAAACCGCUUUCGCCUGUGACGAAGCGUGAGUGACGGUAAUGGGUAAAGAAGCACCGGCUAACUACGUG